UAGGGAAUCUUCGGCAAUGGGGGCAACCCUGACCGAGCAACGCCGCGUGAGUGAAGAAGGUUUUCGGAUCGUAGAGCUCUGUUGUAAGAGAAGAACGUGUGUGGGAGUGGAAAGUUCACACAGUGACGGUAACUUACCAGAAAGGGACGGCUAACUACGUGCCUG
This 165-nucleotide ribosomal RNA is filed under the name uncultured bacterium. Its description in RNAcentral is "partial 16S rRNA". It matches the Rfam family "Bacterial small subunit ribosomal RNA", at positions 355 to 511 of the family's 1533-position model. The record is from RNAcentral.